GGUUUGCGUGAGGGAUAGCAGCGGCAUCCUUUUGUGAAUCUCGUUUUUUUAACGAGAUUCACAAAAGAUAUAGCGAAUAGCCCGACGGCUU
Molecule: small RNA, 91 nt
Filed under: Flavobacterium micromati
Lineage: Bacteria; Pseudomonadati; Bacteroidota; Flavobacteriia; Flavobacteriales; Flavobacteriaceae
Description: Flavo-1 RNA
Rfam family: Flavo-1 RNA
Source: Rfam by way of RNAcentral